Molecule: ribosomal RNA, 715 nt
Filed under: Vibrio sp. FOH-16
Lineage: Bacteria; Pseudomonadati; Pseudomonadota; Gammaproteobacteria; Vibrionales; Vibrionaceae
Description: bacterial SSU rRNA
Rfam family: Bacterial small subunit ribosomal RNA
Source: RNAcentral
CUAACACAUGCAAGUCGAGCGGAAACGACACUAACAAUCCUUCGGGUGCGUUAAUGGGCGUCGAGCGGCGGACGGGUGAGUAAUGCCUAGGAAAUUGCCUUGAUGUGGGGGAUAACCAUUGGAAACGAUGGCUAAUACCGCAUAAUGCCUACGGGCCAAAGAGGGGGACCUUCGGGCCUCUCGCGUCAAGAUAUGCCUAGGUGGGAUUAGCUAGUUGGUGAGGUAAUGGCUCACCAAGGCGACGAUCCCUAGCUGGUCUGAGAGGAUGAUCAGCCACACUGGAACUGAGACACGGUCCAGACUCCUACGGGAGGCAGCAGUGGGGAAUAUUGCACAAUGGGCGAAAGCCUGAUGCAGCCAUGCCGCGUGUAUGAAGAAGGCCUUCGGGUUGUAAAGUACUUUCAGUUGUGAGGAAGGGGGUAGCGUUAAUAGCGCUAUCUCUUGACGUUAGCAACAGAAGAAGCACCGGCUAACUCCGUGCCAGCAGCCGCGGUAAUACGGAGGGUGCGAGCGUUAAUCGGAAUUACUGGGCGUAAAGCGCAUGCAGGUGGUUCAUUAAGUCAGAUGUGAAAGCCCGGGGCUCAACCUCGGAACUGCAUUUGAAACUGGUGAACUAGAGUACUGUAGAGGGGGGUAGAAUUUCAGGUGUAGCGGUGAAAUGCGUUACAUAUCUGAAGGAAUACCAGUGGCCAAAGGCGGCCCCCUGGACACAUAC